AUGCUUCCAAGUGAUGGAGAUGAUGCUCAUGAUGUUCCAUUGAGUAGUGGGUGCAAUGUUGGUACCAAAGUUGCUGAUGAGGAUGCUGGUGCUGCCAGCAUACUUGAUGCCAAAUCGCCUGGUGUUGGUAUUACUGGGAAUGAAAAUGUUUCUGGUUGUGAAGAUUUGCCGCCGGAGAAUUUCCCGCCUGGAGGUCUUGAUUACGGUGAUGCAUUGCAAUAUGCUUCUAGCGUGGAGGAGGUGCCAUCCGAGGAUGAUGAUUUACUUCUAUCAAUUUCUUCUGACCCCUUGACGCAGGAGGCGCUCUUGUCGUCCCAGGAUUUUCUUUCUACAGACCCUGAAAGCGCAUCAAUAUUGGUGGCCUCUCAAGAUGUCCCAUCGUCAAACCCUGAAACUGGAGGCAUAAUGGUCUCAUCAUAG
This 420-nucleotide ribosomal RNA is filed under the name Triticum aestivum (bread wheat). Its description in RNAcentral is "partial small subunit ribosomal RNA". Lineage: Eukaryota; Viridiplantae; Streptophyta; Magnoliopsida; Poales; Poaceae. The record is from RNAcentral.